AUGGAGUUUAUUCUCAGCUGGGUUUUCCUUGUUGCUGUUUUAAAAGGAGUCCAUUGUGAUGUGCAGCUGGUGGAGUCUGGGGGAGGGUUGGUACAGCCUGGGGGAUACCUAAAACUUUCCUGUAAGGCCUCUGGAUUCACAUACAGUGAUCAUCGCAUGGGUUGGGUCUGCCAGGCUCCACAGAAGGGGCUUGAGUGGGUCUCAUCCAUCAGGUAUGAUGGUAAAAAAACAUACUAUGCAGACUCCAUGAAGGGUCGAUUCACCAUCUCCAGAGACAAUGCCAAGAACUUGCUGAAUCUGCUAAUUCACAGUCUGAAAACUGAGGACACAGUCAUAUAUUGCUGUACUCAAAAUUCAAAUUUCUACUCAGAGAGAAGGUAA
Molecule: non-coding RNA, 381 nt
Organism: Carlito syrichta (Philippine tarsier)
Lineage: Eukaryota; Metazoa; Chordata; Mammalia; Primates; Tarsiidae
Source: the annotation of a RefSeq genome assembly